ACUCAAAGGAAUAGACGGGGGCCCGCACAAGCAGUGGAGUAUGUGGUUUAAUUCGAAGCAACGCGAAGAACCUUACCAGGGCUUGACAUCCCGCGAAUAGCGCAGAGAUGCGUGAAGCCUUUCGGGGCGCGGAGACAGGUGGUGCAUGGUUGUCGUCAGCUCGUGUCGUGAGAUGUUGGGUUAAGUCCCGCAACGAGCGCAACCCUUGUUGUCAGUUGCCAUCAUUAAGUUGGGCACUCUGGCAAUACUGCCGGUGACAAAUCGGAGGAAGGUGGGGACGAGGUCAAAUCAUCAUGCCCCUUAUGUCCUGGGCUACACACGUACUACAAUGGCUAAAACAGAGGGAAGCAAAGGAGCAAUCCGGAGCAAAACCCCAAAAAUAGUCUCAGUUCGGAUUGUGGGCUGAAACCCGCCCACAUGAAGUCGGAAUUGCUAGUAAUGGCAGGUCAGCAUACUGCCGUGAAUACGUUCCCGGGCCUUGUACACACCGCCCGU
RNAcentral lists this ribosomal RNA (495 nucleotides) under uncultured bacterium. Its description in RNAcentral is "bacterial SSU rRNA". It matches the Rfam family "Bacterial small subunit ribosomal RNA", at positions 899 to 1397 of the family's 1533-position model. The record is from RNAcentral.